Molecule: transfer RNA, 70 nt
Filed under: Homo sapiens (human)
Lineage: Eukaryota; Metazoa; Chordata; Mammalia; Primates; Hominidae
Rfam family: tRNA
About the family: Transfer RNA (tRNA) molecules are approximately 80 nucleotides in length. Their secondary structure includes four short double-helical elements and three loops (D, anti-codon, and T loops). Further hydrogen bonds mediate the characteristic L-shaped molecular structure. tRNAs have two regions of fundamental functional importance: the anti-codon, which is responsible for specific mRNA codon recognition, and the 3' end, to which the tRNAs corresponding amino acid is attached (by aminoacyl-tRNA synthetases). tRNAs cope with the degeneracy of the genetic code in two manners: having more than one tRNA (with a specific anti-codon) for a particular amino acid; and 'wobble' base-pairing, i.e. permitting non-standard base-pairing at the 3rd anti-codon position.
Source: Rfam by way of RNAcentral
UCCCUGGUAGUCUAGUGGUUAGGAUUCCGCGCUCGCCAUCACGACCCGGGUUCGAUUCCUGGUCAGGGAA